Molecule: non-coding RNA, 212 nt
Organism: Prunus avium (sweet cherry)
Lineage: Eukaryota; Viridiplantae; Streptophyta; Magnoliopsida; Rosales; Rosaceae
Source: RefSeq, a predicted model, not a curated record
GGAUUAUCGGUCUCUGCUUCUGUCAACACAAAAGCAAUGUAUUUCCCUUUUGGAGCUACAUUGUGGGAAUAGGAGCAGCAAAACAGUUUCUCCUUCGGAAGUCACACCAAAGGCCUUUCCGUUUUCGAACUCUACCUGCCAUUUGGCAACAUCCGCAUUGUAGAUACCAGAUUCAAUUUGUUGGUUACCACAUAUACUUGAAAUUUGAGAAA